UUUUUGUUGAUCCCGCCUCGCGGCGAUGACGUCAUCAGUAGCGCGCGCUCACUCCGUCAGCGUCGAGUCUUCUGAGGAGAGACAUAAAUUCAUAUUCAGUGAAGUUCCACCCACAAACCCUGCAGAAUGAAACACACUGAAGACACUGAAGAACUAACAGAGUUGAUUGAAGAAAACAAGAACGAAGAAUUG
This is a long non-coding RNA of Sinocyclocheilus anshuiensis, 192 nucleotides long. RefSeq lists it as uncharacterized. The record is from RefSeq and is a predicted model, not a curated record. The transcript has 3 exons. NCBI's taxonomy places the organism in Eukaryota, Metazoa, Chordata, Actinopteri, Cypriniformes, Cyprinidae.